AUUGAACGCUGGCGGCGUGCCUAACACAUGCAAGUCGAGCGGUAACAGGUGUAGCAAUACAUGCUGACGAGCGGGCGGACGGGUGAGUAACGCUUGGGAAUCUGCCUGUUAGUGGGGGACAACCCGGGGAAACUCGGGCUAAUACCGCAUACGCACUACGGUGGAAAGCCGGGGACCGCAAGGCCUGGCGCUAACAGAUGAGCCCAAGUCGGAUUAGCUAGUUGGUAGGAACGGCCUACCAAGGCGACGAUCCGUAACUGGUCUGAGAGGACGACCAGUCACACCGGAACUGAGACACGGUCCGGACUCCUACGGGAGGCAGCAGUGGGGAAUAUUGGACAAUGGGCAAAGCCUGAUCCAGCGACGCCGCGUGGGUGAAGAAGGCCU
RNAcentral lists this ribosomal RNA (387 nucleotides) under uncultured bacterium. Its description in RNAcentral is "bacterial SSU rRNA". It matches the Rfam family "Bacterial small subunit ribosomal RNA", at positions 29 to 417 of the family's 1533-position model. The record is from RNAcentral.